GACGAACGCUGGCGGCGUGCCUAAUACAUGCAAGUCGAGCGCAGGAAGUCAUCCGACCCCUUCGGGGGGACGUUGACGGAAUGAGCGGCGGACGGGUGAGUAACACGUAAAGAACCUGCCCUCAGGUCUGGGAUAACCACGAGAAAUCGGGGCUAAUACCGGAUGGGUCAUCGGACCGCAUGGUCCGAGGAUGAAAGGCGCUCCGGCGUCGCCUGGGGAUGGCUUUGCGGUGCAUUAGCUAGUUGGUGGGGUAAUGGCCCACCAAGGCGACGAUGCAUAGCCGACCUGAGAGGGUGAUCGGCCACACUGGGACUGAGACACGGCCCAGACUCCUACGGGAGGCAGCAGUAGGGAAUCUUCCACAAUGGACGAAAGUCUGAUGGAGCAACGCCGCGUGAACGAUGAAGGCCCUCGGGUCGUAAAGUUCUGUUGUAAGGGAAGAACAAGUGCCGCAGGCAAUGGCGGCACCUUGACGGUACCUUGCGAGAAAGCCACGGCUAACUACGUG
This 508-nucleotide ribosomal RNA is filed under the name uncultured bacterium. RNAcentral's name for it is "partial 16S ribosomal RNA". It matches the Rfam family "Bacterial small subunit ribosomal RNA", at positions 28 to 507 of the family's 1533-position model. The record is from RNAcentral.